Micropterus dolomieu (smallmouth bass) is the source of this 477-nucleotide long non-coding RNA. RefSeq lists it as uncharacterized. The transcript is spliced from 3 exons. The record is from RefSeq and is a predicted model, not a curated record. Lineage: Eukaryota; Metazoa; Chordata; Actinopteri; Centrarchiformes; Centrarchidae.
UGACCCUUUCACAAUGUGUUUUCAUGUUUCAUGGUAACUUUUUGGUUGCCUAAAAAUGUAUUGUUCAGCGGUCAGUUGUACUAAAAGAUAGGAGUGAGCUGUUAAUUUUUUUGGUAGUCCACAAACCAAUGGUGAAGAGAAGAACAUCUAGUCAGUUCAUCUGUACAACCCAUGACACAUAUGAUAACUCCACUUCUGCAGUCUGGACAGAUGUACUCACUUGUCGCAGUGGCAGAUGUAAAAGCCAAAACCAGCAGCACCAGUGUCAGAGUCGUCAUCCUGGAUUUGGUUGUGUGUCUCUUCUCUCUGAACCCUGAUCCUCACCCAGCAGUCCUGAACCCCAACACAACUCCCAGACAGACUUAAUGAACGUCUCCUCAGUCUCUUUAAGAAAGCCUCAGACCUGAAUUACCAUAAAGUUUCUUCUCACCUCUGACAUCAUUGGGAGUCUGCAAACUGGCACCGCCCCCUCUGUUC